Molecule: long non-coding RNA, 1242 nt
Organism: Solanum dulcamara
Lineage: Eukaryota; Viridiplantae; Streptophyta; Magnoliopsida; Solanales; Solanaceae
Exons: 4
Source: RefSeq, a predicted model, not a curated record
UGUACGCAAACUCCGCCAAAGGAAAGUACUGCUCCUAAUAACCCUCAAACUCCAAUACACAAGUCUGAAUUUGCCUAUAAAUAACAAUGUUUUUCACCUCCAAAAAGACAUAGAGUACACACCUAGGAAUCGAUUGAAAAAAGAUACAAAAAUCGAUUGAAGGCAUUCGAAAAAAAGACCCAGAAUUCACAUCCAAGAAUCUAUUGGAAACUGAUUCAAAAAGGCAUUCAAAAAAAAUUCACUGGAGAACUGAAUCAAAAUUGAUUCAGAAAUUGUUUGCUCUCUUUUUGGGGGUUUUCCGGUUCUCGAGUUUGAGUUAUAAAGCUGAGUUCUAAUCUAGACCCUGACGAAAAGUCCCCUAGUAUGCUGCUCCAAAAAAGGGUGGCGUAGGAGCUACAUCAGCGUCCAUUCCACGUUGCUGCUAGUAGUCUCUGAUUUGACUAAAAACAUCUCCUGCAUUUCAAUUCUAAUCAAGAUUUUUCUCAAUUAACAAAGAAGUACUAUGUACAUAUAUCAUUAGUUAUUGAUUUCAAUAUGUACAACAAGGAACAUAUGAAGAUGUGAGAAGACAUGGUGAAAAAAACAAAAGAAAUUUUGGAUGUGUUGCUUGAAUUUGAGGGUAAUGGAAAAGAUGAACCAGCUAAGUUAUCAGAACAUCAGAUCAACAUAUUCAUAUCGGGAAUUCACGAGCAACUAUUCUAAUAGAAAUAUGUCCAAAUGGACAAUAGCUGUGCAGUGGAUCAUCAAGUCACAAUACCGAGUGCAUUGAAGAUCUGGAUCAAAAUAUUGAAGACAAAGGGGCCUGUAGGACAAAUAAGAUAGUUUUACUUUUUAUUAGAAAGUAACUCUACUUAUUGGAGCUUGUCAUCAUUCCUCAUCAACAAUUCCGCCAUCCAAGACCACCAUUUAACUACAUCAAUUGGAGGAUGCCAUCUAACAACGUCAAACUCCAUCAAACAGAGGUUGUAUAUAGAAAACAAUGUCAAACUCCAUCAAUCGGAGGUUGUAUAGAGCAAACAUCGUCCAAAGUCCGUCAAUCAGAUGUUGUAUAUAGUAAACAUUUUCCAAAUUCCAUCAGUCAGAGUUUGUACAUAGCAAACAUCGUCAAAACUCCGCCAAUCAAAGUGUAACUCCCCAAAAAUUAUUACGCUAAGACCCGAACCAUUCUUUGUGUGCUUAUAGGCCCGAAUCCAAUAAAUUCUAUUGUAAUAUAAUUAUUAUGAAUGAUUCUGUAGUGUUUGA